This 299-nucleotide unclassified non-coding RNA is filed under the name plant metagenome. RNAcentral describes it as "partial contains 5.8S ribosomal RNA, internal transcribed spacer 2, and large subunit ribosomal RNA". The stretch from base 1 to 105 matches the Rfam family "5.8S ribosomal RNA", at positions 50 to 154 of the family's 154-position model. The record is from RNAcentral.
GAAAUGCGAUAAGUAAUGUGAAUUGCAGAAUUCAGUGAAUCAUCGAAUCUUUGAACGCACAUUGCGCCCCCUGGCAUUCCGGGGGGCAUGCCUGUUCGAGCGUCAUUACACCACUCAAGCCUGGCUUGGUAUUGAGCUCCGCGGCCUGCCCGCGCGCUCCAAUGUCUCCGGCUGAGCCGUCCGUCUCUAAGCGUUGUGAAUAGCGAUCGCUUGCGAGGCCCGGGCGGUUCGACGCCGUUAAACCCCCCAUUUUCUAUGGUUGACCUCGGAUCAGGUAGGGAUACCCGCUGAACUUAAGC